UUUGAUCCUGGCUCAGAUUGAACGCUGGCGGCAGGCCUAACACAUGCAAGUCGAACGGUAACAGGAUAGCUUGCUAUCGCUGACGAGUGGCGGACGGGUGAGUAAUACUUAGGGAUCUGCCCCUGUGUGGGGGAUAACUAUUGGAAACGAUAGCUAAUACCGCAUAAUGUCUACGGACCAAAGCGGGCUUCGGCUCGUGCGCAGAGAGGAACCUAAGCGAGAUUAGCUAGUUGGUGAGGUAAAGGCUCACCAAGGCAACGAUCUCUAGCUGUUCUGAGAGGAAGAUCAGCCACACUGGGACUGAGACACGGCCCAGACUCCUACGGGAGGCAGCAGUGGGGAAUAUUGCACAAUGGGGGAAACCCUGAUGCAGCCAUGCCGCGUGUGUGAAGAAGGCCUUCGGGUUGUAAAGCACUUUCAGUUGUGAGGAAAAGUUAGUAGUUAAUACC
This 449-nucleotide ribosomal RNA is filed under the name LMWdDNA-degrading marine bacterium 35. Its description in RNAcentral is "bacterial SSU rRNA". It matches the Rfam family "Bacterial small subunit ribosomal RNA", at positions 12 to 468 of the family's 1533-position model. The record is from RNAcentral.